AUACACGAAAUGUGACAGGGUCAUCCCGAGUGCCGACCGCUGAGGUUGGCUUUUACUCAGUCUAGAAAGCUGGGGGAAUAAGGAGAGGGCAAGUCUGGUGUCAGCCGCCGCGGUAAUACCAGCUCUCCGAGUGGUGUGGACGUUUAUUGGGCCUAAAGCAUCCGUAGCUGGCUGAACAAGUCCCCUGUUAAACCCACCGAUUUAAUCGUUGGCUUGCGGGGGAUACUGCUCGGCUAGGGGACGAGAGAGGCAGACGGUAUUCCCGGGGUAGGGGUGAAAUCCUAUAAUCCCGAGAAGACCACCAGUGGCGAAGGCUGUCUGCUAGAACGCGCCCGAGGGUGAGGGAUGAAAGCUGGGGGAGCGAACCGGAUUAGAUACCCGGGUAGUCCCAGCUGUAAACGAUGCAGGCUAGGUGUUUGGGCGGCCACGUGCCGCUCUAGUGCCGCAGGGAAGCUGUUAAGCCUGCCGCCUGGGGAGUACGAUCGCAAGAUUGAAACUUAAAGGAAUUGGCGGGGGAGCAC
Molecule: ribosomal RNA, 521 nt
Filed under: uncultured archaeon HA48
Lineage: Archaea
Description: bacterial SSU rRNA
Rfam family: Archaeal small subunit ribosomal RNA
Source: RNAcentral